GACGAACGCUGGCGGCGUGCCUAAUACAUGCAAGUCGAGCGGUAAGGCCCUUCGGGGUACACGAGCGGCGGACGGCUGAGUAGCGCGUAGGAACGUACCCCAAAGUGAGGAAUAAGCACCAGAAAUGGUGUCUAAUACCGCAUGUGGUCUUCGGAUUAAAGCCUUCGGGCGCUUUGGGAGCGGCCUGCGUAUGAUUAGCUUGUUGGUGAGGUAAUGGCUCACCAAGGCGACGAUCAUUAGCUGGUCUGAGAGGAUGAUCAGCCAGACUGGGACUGAGACACGGCCCAGACUCCUACGGGAGGCAGCAGUAGGGAAUUUUCCACAAUGGACGAAAGUCUGAUGGAGCAACGCCGCGUGCAGGAUGAAUGCCUUCGGGUUGUAAACUGCUCUUAUAGGUGAAGAUUAUGACGGUAACCUAUGAAUAAGGAUCGGCCAACUCCGUGCCAGCCGCCGCGGUAA
This 459-nucleotide ribosomal RNA is filed under the name uncultured bacterium. RNAcentral describes it as "partial 16S ribosomal RNA". It matches the Rfam family "Bacterial small subunit ribosomal RNA", at positions 28 to 523 of the family's 1533-position model. The record is from RNAcentral.